RNAcentral lists this ribosomal RNA (330 nucleotides) under uncultured bacterium. Its description in RNAcentral is "bacterial SSU rRNA". It matches the Rfam family "Bacterial small subunit ribosomal RNA", at positions 147 to 507 of the family's 1533-position model. The record is from RNAcentral.
CUUCGGGAAACCGAGGCUAAUACCGCAUAAUACCCACGGGUCAAAGGAGCAAUUCGCUUGAGGAGGAGGUCGCGGCCCGAUUAGUUAGUUGGCGGGGUAAUGGCCCCACCAAGACGGUGAUCGGUAUCCGGCCUGAGAGGGCGCACGGACACACUGGAACUGAAACACGGUCCAGACUCCUACGGGAGGCAGCAGUGGGGAAUUUUGCGCAAUGGGGGAAACCCUGACGCAGCAACGCCGCGUGGAGGAUGAAGUCUCUUGGGACGUAAACUCCUUUCGAUCGGGACGAUUAUGACGGUACCGGAAGAAGAAGCCCCGGCUAACUUCGUG